This 309-nucleotide long non-coding RNA is filed under the name Androctonus crassicauda. Lineage: Eukaryota; Metazoa; Arthropoda; Arachnida; Scorpiones; Buthidae. The record is from RNAcentral.
GGCCAAUUACAGCGGGGAGGCUGGGGGUGGGGUGUGGCAGGGGUGCGCGGGGCAUGCAUGGGUGGAGGCGGCAGGAGGCGCGCGUGGUCCUGGAUGUUGCGCUGCGCACACCACUUCCAUGACAAUGGGAGAUCUGAUGGUUCGUUAUCAUUGGUAGGGUUGGGGGAGGGCCUCCUUUUUUCUGUCUCUAUAGAUUCAGGUGGAGUGGUGCUCAGAGGGUCUCGAGGAGGUUUCGGGAUGCUGGCCUGGUCCCACAGGAUGUCAAUGUUCUGCUCAUACAUCUUGCUGGCUAGUGCUGUGUCAAUUUUU